RNAcentral lists this ribosomal RNA (510 nucleotides) under uncultured bacterium. RNAcentral describes it as "bacterial SSU rRNA". It matches the Rfam family "Bacterial small subunit ribosomal RNA", at positions 10 to 518 of the family's 1533-position model. The record is from RNAcentral.
AGUUGAUCAUGGCUCAGGAUGAACGCUGGCGGCGUGCCUAAUACAUGCAAGUCGAGCGAGGUAGCUGCUACCGAGCGGCGAACGGGUGAGUAACACGUAGGUAACCUGCCUUAAGACUGGGAUACCCAGACGAAAGUUUGGCUAAUACCGGAUAACAACGGGGAUCGCAUGAUUCCCGCUUGAAAGUCGCGUUUGCGACACUUUUAGAUGGACCUGCGGCACAUUAGCUAGUUGGUGAGAUAACAGCCCACCAAGGCGAGGAUGUGUAGCCGACCUGAGAGGGUGACCGGCCACAAUGGGACUGAGACACGGCCCAUACUCCUACGGGAGGCAGCAGUAGGGAGUUUUCGGCAAUGGGCGAAAGCCUGACCGAGCAACGCCGCGUGAGUGAUGACGGUCUUUCCGGAUUGUAAAGCUCUGUUACGAGGGACGAAUUGCAGGAUUAGGAAAUGAGUUCUGCUUGACGGUACCUCGCCAGAAAGUGACGGCUAACCACGUGCCAGCAGCUGC